CAGGCGAAUCUCAAGUCAUCGAUCGACCUUCCUCAAGACCGCGAUUCUAACCUAACUUUGUUUGUUAUUGUUUGAAUUUUGAAUAUUUUUAAUUCAGUUCCAACAUAUAUUUUUUGUUUUUCUAAUUACAAUAAAAAUGUAUGAAGAAGUAAAAGCAUUUUUAGAGUUUAUUGAUAAUAUUGGAGAAGAAAAUCGCCCAGGAAGUAUACAAAAGCGAUAUAUUCAAGAUAAAAAUAUAAUCUAAAAUACAAGGGAGUAUUACAAUAUUGAAAUUCAUCAGCGAAUCAGCGCAUUAACUUAAACAACAAAGGUUUUAUGCUACUUAUAGGAAUAUAACCAGUUUUUAUAAGGAAGCCCACUUUCCAAAAAUGUACAGGUACUAAUAGAAGAGAAAUUAUGUAUAUUAUUGUAUUGUUCAACAACAAGGUUAUCAAGUCAUUCAAUAUUUGAUCUAAGAGCAUUAAUGAGUGAAAUGGAAAGAAGUGAAAUUCCAGGAUUAUUAAUAGGAAUAGAUGACAGUAGUGGGUAUGCAUGCAGACACUAUCUUUUUACCCCAGUAUUACAGCCAGGUAAUGAUCAAGAAAAUAAGAUAUUUUUACCAUAGUACUCAUGUGAGAACAAGAAAUGUAGAAAAGCAAUUUGGAACCUGGAAAAGAGAGUUUCCUUGUCUUCAACAAGGUCUACAAACCAAAUUAUAUACAUGUCUUGCAAUAAUAUGUGCUACAGCAGUACCUUAUAAUCUAGGUAAAUAAUGAUCUGGUGGUAAAUAGACAUGUUAAUGAUGUGGAACAAUCUCUAAAUUUUUGGCGACAUUUUUUUCAACAAUGUUUUGCAUGAGAAUACAUUAUUGAAUACCUACUCUUAUUGUGUUUGAUUUUUUUGUCGUAUUAUUUCUCAAAAUGUCAUCAUGAUCAUUGUUCGACAACCCUUUUUGUUUGAGUUUUGGUCUCUUGAGGAAUACAGCUCCAUUCCAGUCUAUUUCAGGAUUUGUUCUUACAAUUUUUUAUUUUUAAAAUAUCAAUGUCUUAUUCUAUUUGUUCCUUAUAUCUAAUCUAUAGUCUUUCUCUCGUUAUAUGUCCAGCUGACAUUUGUGUGUUUAUUUUGGAAAGUAUUUCAUAUGCUUCCAUCCUUCCUCUUAGAAUGUGGUCCUAUUUUGAUGAAUGUAUAUGGAUCGUGGUAUUGUUCAAAAUUAUAUUUCAUAUGCUUCCAUCCUUCCUCUUAGAACGUGGUCCUAUUUUGAUGAAUGUAUAUGGAUCGUGGUAUGCCCUGUAUAGUUCAAAAUUAUAUUUCAUAUGCUUCCAUCCUUCCUCUUAGAACGUGGUCCUAUUUUGAUGAAUGUAUAUGGAUCGUGGUAUGCCCUAUGCCCUGUAUAGUUCAAAAUUAUAUCUUCUCUGGUCUUCAUAUUUUAGAUGCUAUUUAGCCUGAUUCUAGUGCUUUAUCGUUAUUUCCAGUGCUUUAUCAAUUUAUCAUCAUUUAUUUUACCUACCUGUCUACUGCUACUCUACUAUUGUACGUUCACCAUAUAUUUUUGGAAUAUAAAUAUAUAGUAACCUUCUGUCUUUCUCUUGUUCAACUGGAAUUUGUUUAUUUAUUCUGAGAAUACAUUAUUGAAUCUGUAUUAUGUUAGAUAUAUUAUUUUAUUUCUUAAUAUGUAUUUUUUAUAUUUUAUUUUAAAAUAAAUGAGUAUGAGUUUCUCUCUUCUUAAAUAAGUAUUUAUUUGACAAACCUUUCCUUACCAAAUAUAAAAUUAAUUACACAUCUGGACCUCGGAGGUAAACUACACUAUGUCAUUUCGAGCAACUGUGUUUAGCAUGUGUUUGCAACAAAGUUUAGAGCACUUAGGAUGUUAAUAAAAAUCUGAUAUAUCCCAUAAUUAGUUGAAAGACAA
This 1888-nucleotide long non-coding RNA is filed under the name Diabrotica virgifera virgifera (western corn rootworm). RNAcentral's name for it is "uncharacterized LOC126887660". The record is from RNAcentral. Lineage: Eukaryota; Metazoa; Arthropoda; Insecta; Coleoptera; Chrysomelidae.